Molecule: ribosomal RNA, 296 nt
Filed under: uncultured Alcaligenaceae bacterium
Lineage: Bacteria; Pseudomonadati; Pseudomonadota; Betaproteobacteria; Burkholderiales; Alcaligenaceae
Description: partial 16S ribosomal RNA
Rfam family: Bacterial small subunit ribosomal RNA
Source: RNAcentral
UUAAGUCCCGCAACGAGCGCAACCCUUGUCAUUAGUUGCUCGAAAGGGCACUCUAAUGAGACUGCCGGUGGACAAACCGGAGGAAGGUGGGAUGACGUCAAGUCCUCAUGGCCCUUAUGGGUAGGGCUUCACACGUCAUACAAUGGUCGGGACAGAGGGUCGCCAACCCGCGAGGGGGGAGCCAAUCCCAGAAACCCGAUCGUAGUCCGGAUUGUAGUCUGCAACUCGACUACAUGAAGUCGGAAUCGCUAGUAAUCGCGGAUCAGCAUGUCGCGGUGAAUACGUUCCCGGGUCUU